Molecule: transfer RNA, 121 nt
Filed under: Candidatus Nomurabacteria bacterium
Lineage: Bacteria; Candidatus Nomuraibacteriota
Description: tRNA-Phe
Rfam family: tRNA (bases 62-116)
Source: RNAcentral
UGCUCAGUACCGACGUCCCGACAUGUGGUCGUCGGGAGCACGGAGAGCCGACAGAAUCGUCGGCUUUGGUUAGAGCACUCGCCUGAAGAGCGAGGUGUCGGCAGUUCGAGUCUGCCCCCGA